Molecule: non-coding RNA, 348 nt
Organism: Chlorocebus sabaeus (green monkey)
Lineage: Eukaryota; Metazoa; Chordata; Mammalia; Primates; Cercopithecidae
Source: RefSeq, a predicted model, not a curated record
GGCUUUUCCCGUGUGCCAUGUUGUCUCCAGCAAUAUAUGUGGCUUCUCGCUCAGAGCUUCUGCUGAGGCAGGGCCUCGCACUGAGUCACAUGGCUCCUUGGAACAAGAAAACUUUCUCAGAAGUCCUCCCACACAGGUGUGAGCGUGAUGGACUCUAGACUGCCUUCCAUGAGCGUUGGUCAUGCUGUGAUGUCAUCAUUUUCCAUUAAAACCCAGUGUGUAUGAUGCCAAGAAGAUUAAUUGUGCAAGUGACUGAUUCAUUUAAAUUGUAAUCACAUCCCUUUUCUGCUUCACCAACCUGAACUGUUUUAAAAAGUAUCAUUAAAAGUCUGUUCUCUUUCCUUUUGA